CGCUUCCCGAUUCGGAAUUCUAGGGUUUCGCUUCCCGGCGCCUCAAUCCGAGAGAGGAGGUUUUCUAGCUAUUGAGGUGUGUGUAGCCACAAUGAAGCCCAUUUUCUGUGGCAACUUUGAGUAUGAUGCUCGCCAGUCUGAGCUUGAAAGACUUUUCAAAAGAUAUGGGAAGGUUGACAGGGUAGAUAUGAAGUCAGGAUUUGCCUUUGUCUACAUGGAGGAUGAGCGGGAUGCUGAGGAUGCAAUUCGAG
This 251-nucleotide unclassified non-coding RNA is filed under the name Hevea brasiliensis (rubber tree). The record is from RNAcentral. Lineage: Eukaryota; Viridiplantae; Streptophyta; Magnoliopsida; Malpighiales; Euphorbiaceae.